CCUACGGGGUGCUGCAGUGAGGAAUAUUGGUCAAUGGACGAGAGUCUGAACCAGCCAAGUAGCGUGAAGGAUGACUGCCCUAUGGGCUGUAAACUUCUUUUAUAUGGGAGUAAAAUGUUCCACGUGUGGGAUUUUGUAUGUACCAUAUGAAUAAGGAUCGGCUAACUCCGUGCAAGCAGCAGCGGUAAUACGGAGGAGCCGAGCGUUAUCCGGAUUGAUUGGGUUUAAAGGGAGCGUAGGUGGAUUGUUAAGUCAGUAGUGAAAGUUUGCGGCUCAACCGUAAAAUUGCAGUUGAAACUAGCAGUCUUGAGUACAGUAGAGGUGGGCAGAAUUCGUGGUGUAGCGGUGAAAUGCUUAGAUAUCACGAAGAACUCCGAUUGCGAAGGCAGCUCACUGGACUGCAACUGACACUGAGGCUCGAAAGUGUGGGUAUCAAACAGGAUUAGAUACCCCAGUAGUC
RNAcentral lists this ribosomal RNA (460 nucleotides) under uncultured bacterium. RNAcentral describes it as "partial 16S ribosomal RNA". It matches the Rfam family "Bacterial small subunit ribosomal RNA", at positions 338 to 795 of the family's 1533-position model. The record is from RNAcentral.